This is a long non-coding RNA of Dermochelys coriacea (leatherback sea turtle), 344 nucleotides long. RefSeq lists it as uncharacterized. The record is from RefSeq and is a predicted model, not a curated record. NCBI's taxonomy places the organism in Eukaryota, Metazoa, Chordata, Testudines, Dermochelyidae. The transcript is spliced from 3 exons.
CAGUUCCUGAGGCAGAGACAACAAGAGGAGCCUAUUUGCUGCUGCUUGCCUGCACUGUGGUGGAGGGCACAUCCUUCUUCCAGAAGACCCUCAUAGAAGAGAAGAAGUGGCCCACACUUGAUUGACAGUUAGCCUGGUGAGCUUCUGAUGAUUGUGGGAGAUAUAUGCAGUAGUAUGUUAUUAAAGUUCACCUUUCAAAGUAGUUUGGCUGGGGCCAAUUACUGAAUACCAAAAGACAGACAGCUCUUCUCUGAACACUCUCCAAUUUAUCAAUAUCCUUCUUGAAUUGUGGGCACCAGAAUGGACAUUGUAUUCCAGGGGCACAUUAGUGCCAAAUACAGAGA